GGAAAUGUCAAGUCCUGGUUUUCCAGAU
RNAcentral lists this non-coding RNA (28 nucleotides) under Rattus norvegicus (Norway rat). Lineage: Eukaryota; Metazoa; Chordata; Mammalia; Rodentia; Muridae. The record is from RNAcentral.